Molecule: long non-coding RNA, 225 nt
Filed under: Elaeis guineensis (African oil palm)
Lineage: Eukaryota; Viridiplantae; Streptophyta; Magnoliopsida; Arecales; Arecaceae
Description: long non-coding RNA (EGUI_LNC053103)
Source: RNAcentral
CCAGAUCACCAAGAAGAAAAGAAGAACCUUUCUUCUUCUCUUGUUCUCUCUCUUUUUCUCUCUUAGAUCUGAUCUUUAUCAGAUCUGUGCAUUAGGGAUGUAAGGAAGAAAGGAAGAAGAAGUUGAGCAUUGAGAUGUUGUGAUGUCCUAAAGAAGUCGUCCACUUCUUUCACGUCAAAAACCUCAUGCCCAAAAUAUUUUGUCAGACAAAACCAAAAACCUCUC